UCCAAUCUAAAUGCUAGGCAAUUGGUUCUAUUGCAAUGUUUAAUCAAUCCCGACUUGUGUGGACUUGUACACGAGCCCUUGUGUCUGUCAGUAUUCAUUAACUAAGAAUAUCCUACCAAGAGUACAAGGAUUUGGGUGGACCGUACACAAGCCUCUUAUGUAUGUCAUUAUCAUUGACUAAGAGCAUCCCACUAGUGGUUUUGGAGUGCAAAAAUCUGGGUGGCUCCCAUUCUCUACUCCAACCUAAAUAUAAGGCAGAUUCUUUCUCAGUGAUAUAUGUGUUCAGUGACUAAAGUCUUCUUUUAAUUAGUAACCACUUCAUUAGAACUGUGGCAAGAUUUUUUGUGUAAGCUAGUCUUGCAUCUGGGUCUCCUUAUUGUAAAGAAACCAAGGAUUUUCAGCUGCUGCUGCUGCCGCCCAUGGGAUUGAAGUUGUAGUGGAUUUUAAGUCAGUCGAACAUCCAAUUGAACCUCUAGACACUGAUUAGCCAGUCAGAUGUCCAUUGCCCGAACCUUCAAUUCUAAAUGUAAGCACAAACCCAACUACUGAUUCUCUAUUCUGCUGUAACUAUAUAUGAGAAAGGAGGGUUCCCUGGUAUUUUUCUGAACAAUGGUUCUGCUUUUGCAGUUUCACAGGAACAUAAUGGACUCAUUAUCCAACAUUGGAGAGUUUGUUAAAGUUACCCAGUUCGGUGGUCAAAGAUCAGUUACAUGCUCUGAGAUCUAAACUAUUGCAUCCUACUUCCAUGAUUGGAUGACGUGUAUCAACUUGAUUGGUGCCUCCAUAUUACCGGGUAGAAGGAAUAUGGCCGAUGCUUGGGAAAGGUAUUUUUGGACAGGUGUAUGUGGGGCAUCAAAUUUUUGCUGCUCAUGGUGGCCUAGAUAGGAUUACUGGCCCUGUUGCUAUAGAGGUUUGAAAAAUUCUUAAAUUUUUUUAUUGUUUGGUAGAGCUGUGUAUUCGAUUUUCCUUCUUAAUGGACAUUGCAUUACUCCAAUCAAAUGAUUCUACUAAUUUGAUCAAUAGUCAUUAAAAUGAAUGAUCCAGUCAAUGGCCUACAAAAUUGGUCCAUGACUAACUGAUUUUCACCAACCAUCCUAUGGACUACACGUUUGAUUUCAUGGGCUAUUUUAUUGAUUGUGGAGCUCAAGAUCACUUUGUCAGUGGAAUUGACUGAUUCAGGAAUUGUGGAAUUUACUUUUUUCCUUGUUUGACACCAUGCAUUUGGACCAUCUAAUUGCCUAAUUUGUUAAUUGGGUAAAGGGUUGUUGCUCAAAUGUCUCAACAACACACUUCAUGAAUUGGGUGGUAUUAAAUCUACCGAAUUCAUGAAUUACCUGUUGGUGCAAAACUUCUUGCAGGCUUCAUUUUUUCUUCUUUCUUUACAGUGAGCUUUGAAUAUUGGUCUUUCAUAUUCAUAUGCAUUGGGCUUCAAUCAAUGCAGGGGUAUUACCCAAUGGUUAAACAGCUAUCGAACUUUGAGGUUCUCAAUCAGGCCAUAAACUUAAAUGUUAUGAUUGUCCCAUCAAGGAGAUUUUCAAUGCUUGGUCCAUCUAUUAUGGGUCCAACAGACUGAUGGUGGGCCCCACUUGUAGAUAGCCUUGGUUGAAACACAUGAAGAAAAUGAGGUGUACUCUGAACCUUGUGUGAGCCCCCACAAGAUGUAAAAGCUUAUAUCCAUCGAUCUGGCUGCACAGGGAGAGCUGGUAAUAGAGUUUGAUAUCCAUCGAUCUGGUAAGGACUGGUUGCACAUUUACUACAUGAGUUCUCUUAUAUUAGGCAAUAGUGUGAGCCCCCACGAGAUGUAAAACCUAAAGAAGCAUUUGUUGAUGAGUUUUCUUAUACUAGGCAAUGAAGAGUGGUAGACAGAUUUUUAAUGCAGUUUCUAGAGCUUAAAAUCAUAUACUUUCUAAUUUGAAAACUUGCAGUGAUUUGUUCUUAAGUUUGUAUUGUACUUUCAAGUGUGUCCAAGGUAUCUUAUUUUUAAGCUUAACAAUGAGUCUUU
Magnolia sinica is the source of this 2002-nucleotide long non-coding RNA. RefSeq lists it as uncharacterized. The transcript is spliced from 5 exons. NCBI's taxonomy places the organism in Eukaryota, Viridiplantae, Streptophyta, Magnoliopsida, Magnoliales, Magnoliaceae. The record is from RefSeq and is a predicted model, not a curated record.